AAGAAAUAUGUCUGACAAAAGAAUUACUUUGAUAGAGUAAGCCAUAGGGGUUUAAGUCCCCUUAUUUCUA
This 70-nucleotide transfer RNA is filed under the name Ailuropoda melanoleuca (giant panda). Its description in RNAcentral is "tRNA-Ile". The record is from RNAcentral. Lineage: Eukaryota; Metazoa; Chordata; Mammalia; Carnivora; Ursidae.